UAACCAUGUUAACUACAACUAUUAACAUCUUUCCAAACUCAUGAACUUUUAGUCCAAAGGGGAUUACAAGAAGUUAAAGUAAAACCUGCCCUUCAUAAAUUCUUCUUCAGCAGGGCCCCGCCCAACCACUCGCCCACCGAAUCAUCGAUUUGAGACUCCAUCCAUCCUCGCAGAUCAUCAAGACCACCUUACCAUGGUCAACUCUCCCACGUCAAGUUGCAUCA
RNAcentral lists this long non-coding RNA (224 nucleotides) under Elaeis guineensis (African oil palm). RNAcentral's name for it is "long non-coding RNA (EGUI_LNC002241)". The record is from RNAcentral. Lineage: Eukaryota; Viridiplantae; Streptophyta; Magnoliopsida; Arecales; Arecaceae.